This 253-nucleotide ribosomal RNA is filed under the name uncultured bacterium. RNAcentral's name for it is "partial 16S ribosomal RNA". It matches the Rfam family "Bacterial small subunit ribosomal RNA", at positions 524 to 776 of the family's 1533-position model. The record is from RNAcentral.
UACGAAGGGGGCUAGCGUUGCUCGGAAUCACUGGGCGUAAAGCGCACGUAGGCGGGUUCUUAAGUCAGGGGUGAAAUCCCAGAGCUCAACUCUGGAACUGCCUUUGAUACUGGGAAUCUUGAGUCCGGGAGAGGUGAGUGGAACUGCGAGUGUAGAGGUGAAAUUCGUAGAUAUUCGCAAGAACACCAGUGGCGAAGGCGGCUCACUGGCCCGGUACUGACGCUGAGGUGCGAAAGCGUGGGGAGCAAACAGG